CAGCAGUGGGGAAUAUUGCACAAUGGGGGAAACCCUGAUGCAGCGACGCCGCGUGAGUGAAGAAGUAUCUCGGUAUGUAAAGCUCUAUCAGCAGGAAAGAUAAUGACGGUACCUGACUAAGAAGCCCCGGCUAACUACGUGCCAGCAGCCGCGGUAAUACGUAGGGGGCAAGCGUUAUCCGGAUUUACUGGGUGUAAAGGGAGCGUAGACGGCAGCGCAAGUCUGGAGUGAAAUGCCGGGGCCCAACCCCGGAACUGCUUUGGAAACUGUGCGGCUCGAGUGCGGGAGAGGUAGGCGGAAUUCCUAGUGUAGCGGUGAAAUGCGUAGAUAUUAGGAGGAACACCAGUGGCGAAGGCGGCUUACUGGACCGUAACUGACGUUGAGGCUCGAAAGCGUGGGGAGCAAACAGGAUUAGA
RNAcentral lists this ribosomal RNA (416 nucleotides) under uncultured Lachnospiraceae bacterium. RNAcentral describes it as "bacterial SSU rRNA". It matches the Rfam family "Bacterial small subunit ribosomal RNA", at positions 349 to 782 of the family's 1533-position model. The record is from RNAcentral. Lineage: Bacteria; Bacillati; Bacillota; Clostridia; Lachnospirales; Lachnospiraceae.